RNAcentral lists this long non-coding RNA (462 nucleotides) under Coffea arabica (coffee). RNAcentral's name for it is "long non-coding RNA (CARA_LNC002021)". Lineage: Eukaryota; Viridiplantae; Streptophyta; Magnoliopsida; Gentianales; Rubiaceae. The record is from RNAcentral.
CUCCUCCUAUUACUCUGCAACAGCUUCAGCUUUUUCUUGGCCUUCCCAAAUCGAAAUAUAGACACACUUUUGGGUUCUUUAUUACCCCCUUGUCCAGUUUCCUUCUUUAGACCAUCCCUUUUUGCUGGGCUACUAGUAACUUGUUCUUGUUCUUGUUCUUCUUCUUCAUCAUCAUACCCACCACCACCACCACUGGAGGAUGGAUCUUUUAUAUCAGAGCCAGACAUAUAAAAAAAGAAUUUGAAUUAAUAAUUUGUAAGUUUAUGAGAUGAAAAAAUCAUGUGUGCACAUACUUUGGACCACAUAGCAGCAGUAGUAUAUCAAAUACAAGUUGUAAACUAGGCAAUGUGUCAGUUGUAUUAUUGUUAGUAUGUUGUACAAUAACAAGACAAAGUCGAUGCAGUAUUGGAGAAACUGUGGGAUUUUUCUCAGAGAUUGGACACAGAAGAAUGGAGAACUAAC